Myotis davidii is the source of this 4185-nucleotide long non-coding RNA. RefSeq lists it as uncharacterized. NCBI's taxonomy places the organism in Eukaryota, Metazoa, Chordata, Mammalia, Chiroptera, Vespertilionidae. The transcript has 2 exons. The record is from RefSeq and is a predicted model, not a curated record.
AUUUGAUUCCCCAACAACCCUAGGAGGCAGGUCCUAUUAUUGUUCUCAUUUGACAGAUGAUGAAACCAAGGCUCUGAGAGGUGAAUGGUUAGCCCAAAUUCACAUAGCUCAGAGAAGAUAGUGAAACACGGGUCUGUCCAAAGGAGGGCAUCCAGGAAACGGAUAAGUGGGAAACAGGAUUACAACAGGACCAGCGGGGGAAAGCUAGAUAUGUAGCCAGAGAGGAAAACAUUCCAAAGGAAGGGAACUCAAACACUGCAAAUUUCAAGUGUUGUCUGUGUAGAACUAUCUGAGUCUAGGAGAGAAUCAGGGAACAUCAGAAGAUAAAGAAACAGAUUUCAUGUCAAGAUAGGAGAGCAUUUAAGCCCACUGUCCACAACGGAAUAGGCCGGCUCUGGGAUUGGUAGGUUCACCAUCCAGUGGCCAGGCAUUUGUCACAGACGGAAGUCUAGCAGCUAAUGGCUAGGAAGUAGGGGUGAAGGAAAGAGGUCCUGAGUUUCAUUGACCUGCAUUGCCUUCCAGUUCUGUGUACUCAGUUGGGAGGGAUGCAGCAGAUUGCCUUCCUAGCUGAGACUAACAUGCUAGAGCCACGCAGCUGAUGACCUGGGGUUAAACAUAUGCCAAAACGAACCCAAAACAUAUGCAAACCUAAAAUCCUCUAAGAAAGGCUUGAGAGAGUUUAGAUCUCUGCAGCCCUCCUUGACAAAGAGGCAGAGCAGGAUAAUGGAAAAGGCUAAAGCUCUGGGUUCACAGAGACUUGGCUUCAAAUUUUAGUUCACCCACUUGCCACGCGAUCCAGGACAGAUGUUUAAGCUCAUUAAGUCUCAAUUUGCUCAUCUGUAAAAUAAAUAUGAGAAGCCUGUCUUGUGGGGUAGCUUGGAGAUUCUAUGAGUCAAUGCCUGUAAAGUACUAGUAAUAGGAUGCCUGGCCCUUAGGCAGACUCAGCAAAUAAUUCCUAUGGUUCUAACGAUGAUCUCUUUGUGUCUCCCCAGCGAGUGGCAUUAAGCCUUGAAGAUGAUGGACUGCCGUAAGGAUGGGACCACUCCCUUCAUGCCUCACGGAAUUCAGUUCCAUGCACUACACUCUCUGGAUGGUGUAUGCCUGGAUGGAAGGAUUUCUGUAUGGGCCUGAGUGAGUGUGCGCGUGUCUGUGUGUGCGUGUGUAAUUUUAAUUUAUGUUGCAGAAAGGUAACCACAAAGUUAUGAUGAACUGCAGACAUCCAAAGGAUGUGAGAGUUUUUAUAUGUAUAAUGUUUUAUACACUUUUUAACUGGUUGCACUACCCAUGAGGAAUUCAUGGAAUGGCUACUGCUGAGUGACUAACAUGAUGUACAUAACCAAAUGGGGCCGAUGGUACAGUAGCUUACUCAUCAUUUAAAAACUAUAUUUACAGAGAGAAUAUUUGAUUUCGGGGGGGCUUUUUUAGGUUUUGGAGUUUUGGGGGUUUUUUUUGUAAAUAAAAUGAUUAUGCUUUGUGGCUAUCCAUCAACAUAAAAAAGAAAAGAAAGAUAAGCACCUCAACUCCCUCCCCAAUUUAGAUUAUUUAUUAACAAACUUCAUAAAUAAGAUUAGUUCUAUGAAUCAUUUAGAGACAUGAGAGUAUUUAUUUUUGGUAUGAUUGGCCCACCACACAGACUCUGUGUGCAUUGUGUUUGUCUGCAUGUGUGUGCAAGAGAAAACUCUAGAGAAGAGGCGCACCUAUGGCGGUUGUUCAAGUACAUGACGAUAGAUAUAUUUUAAGCCAGUCCACAGAGGGCAUCUGGAGUUUUCAGAGAAUUCACCUUUGGAACCCUGGCUCAGAGAACAGAUACCAUGGUGUGUGCACACAUGUAGCGGCAGAGGCAGAACCUCCCCAGCUCUGGCUAUUCCUGGGACCCGACUCGGGCAAAGCCCUUCAGGCUGCUGGGACUCCCCCCUGGGCUUUCUCUUACGGGGCUAAGGCCAGCGUACAGACUUUACACGGUGCCAGAAGUCCUCGUGAGCUCAGGUGAGAACAUGCCUGAACCUUGGCUACUCCUGUUUUAAAGUUCAGCAUUUUGAGCAACUUCAUUUUCCUUCAGGACACUUGGGUUGAAUUCAUUAAGGUUGCAUUCCUUACUGAUAGAGAGCUAAGUGAAGAUGUUUCCAGAACAGCCCAGGUUUACUCUAGGGACUGGCUUAGGCACAGAACCCCUGGGAUGCACUAUGGAUGAGGAUAAAGAUGGUGGAAUAGGUUUUGUUACAUCUCCAUCUCUCCCUUCCUCUUACUCUCCCAUUUCCUUUAGGUGGGGAAGAGUAAUACUUAGGUUUGUUGCCAUCAUGUGUUCGCAUAGAUGAAACUAAUGUGGGGCUUAAGGCAGUAAAGGUGGACAAACCUAAAGUCCUAUUUGAGGGGGAAAUGGCAUACGCAAUAUUAUAGGACACUGGAUAUAUGUUCACACAGAAGUUUGGUUUACUGCUUUGUAAAUAAAAGGAAGAACUCUAGGUCUAUGUACAGCUUUGUUUCACCAUGGACACUUCCUGUGCCUCUCCUGGGCCUUGGGGAGGCGGGGAGAAGUGUUCAUCUCUCUUUGUGGAGUCUACCAUUGAAAACAUAAUCCAAUAGUCCCAGAAGGAAUGCAGUCCCCGCUGGCUCUAUCGUCCAAGGUCUUUCCUUAACUCUGCUGUUCCACACUGUACUCCCACUGGACAACCAGGCACAAGACGUGACACAGCGUGUUUGGCUUCAGUAGGGGCAGAGGACAUGUACCUCACCUCAGCAUACCUGGAACUUGGCCCAUACAGGCAUUCUGGAGUUCUGUCACCCUGUUCCUAGGACCUUUCUUUCUCUCCGUCACUCAUGAUCUGCUAGAUUCUGGGGAAACAACCGUAUUCUGGAGCCUGGGCACUAUGCUUUGCAUAAACAAGCAAUUUCCUCAUGAUACGUAUGUGCCGAUAGUCCUGAAACGUCCGGUAAGAGGGAAAGAUGCAUUGACUUAGAAUGACCGUUACCAAAUAGAAUUUUAAAAACAUCCGGCCAACUCCUAUGGAGCUUAGUCACUUACUACUAUUCUUUCAAGAAUAAAAAGUAAAAUAAUUUUUGACUGAAGAAAAAUUAUGGAAGUGAAAAGUCAUUGAAAUUUACACAAAAACAAGCAACUUUUUCUUUAACCUGCCUCCAAAGAAAUAGAAUUUCCCGGGGAAAUUAUAAUAGUGUCUAAUGCAUAAUAUCUAAACUUUCAGUCAGAUCCUGGCCUUCACAGAAAAAAUAAUGAAUGGGAUCAGGAUGAUUCAGCCCGAUAUCUCAAAAGGAAGAUGAAACACAACUUUCUCAGAGAUACCCAUGUUUUCUGAAUAUGCUGCAACUGCAGUUUGAAAGAGGCAGCUAUGGGAACAGCCUACAAAAAACCAAAUUGUGGAAUAUUCACGUGUUGGAUGGUAGUAAAGUAGAUGAAAUCUGAAUACUCAAGUCCAUCCUCUAGCCCUGAAGGCUGUAAGUCUCAUUCUGAGGUUUAGUUGCAUUUCUGUUGCUUUUUGCCCUGAUGCCGUCAUAUACCAACAGUCAGGAACAGGUCAGAGAGUCAUUGGACUAUACGCAGAGCUGGAGGACGCUUAGAAACAACACCAAGAGGGCAGAAGGUGUAUCAGACAAUUUUUCUCUAUUUAAAAGAAACGCUGCGGUCCUUUUCCUCCCUUUUCUUCUCCAGUUGACUACUUCGCACUGCCUGAACAUUGCACCAAACCUGCCACCUUUCUUUCCAACGGGAUUAUGAAGGCACUGGCAGAAAUGGCCUUCCAGAAACAGGGAAAACUAAAAUUUCAUUUAUUUACUUUUGAUGGCAUGAUUAUUUUCACAAUAGAUGGAGAUAACCUGUAACCUCAGGAUGAGAUUGGAUUUAAAUUUAUGGCAAUAAACACUGGAUCCCUCCAAUUCUCUCUUUGCGACUGCAAUAUAUGCAUUCACUGAACCCAUUUGCUAGGUAUCAGCUAAGUGUUGGGCACUGCAGAAGUAUAGGUCAGUCAAACAUUUUCUGUCCCUAUGGCACUCACAGUGGCAGUAGAGGAAGACGUGGAAACAAAAAAAAAAGAAUAGAUUCUUUUCAGAAUAAUGUUAUGAUACUAAGUGGUCAUUUCUACCGAAGGAGAUAAUGGGGUCAAGAAAGCCACCACAGGAGAAGUGACCUUAAGUCUUAAAAACUAAGUAGGGAUGUCAGGCUGCUUCAGGCAG